CUUGAUCAAAUAUAAGAGGUCCAGCCUGCCCAGUGACCACUUAAACGGCCGCGGUAUCCUAACCGUGCAAAGGUAGCAUAAUCAUUUGUUCUCUAAAUAAGGACUCGUAUCAACGGCAUCACGAGGGUUGUACUGUCUCCCCCCUCUAAUCAGUGAAACUGACCUCCCCGUGAAGAGGCGGGGAUUUUUAUACAAGACGAGAAGACCCCAUGGAGCUUUAAACCCAAUAAUACUCUCUCACUAUAUACUCCAUUUAAGUUAUAAAGUUUUUAUCUAUUGGUUUUAGGUUGGGGUGACCACGGAGUAAAACAUAACCUCCUUGACGAACGGUCUUAUCCUAAUCCAAGAGCUACUGCUCUAAGAAUCAAAAAUUUGACGUAAUAUGAUCCGGCAACCGAUCAACGAA
This 406-nucleotide ribosomal RNA is filed under the name Limnonectes blythii (giant mountain frog). Its description in RNAcentral is "partial 16S ribosomal RNA". It matches the Rfam family "Bacterial large subunit ribosomal RNA", at positions 1834 to 2438 of the family's 2925-position model. The record is from RNAcentral. Lineage: Eukaryota; Metazoa; Chordata; Amphibia; Anura; Dicroglossidae.